CAACUUUUAACAACGGAUCUCUUGGCUCUCGCAUCGAUGAAGAACGCAGCGAAAUGCGAUAAGUAAUGUGAAUUGCAGAAUUCAGUGAAUCAUCGAAUCUUUGAACGCACCUUGCGCUCUCUGGUAUUCCGGGGAGCACACCUGUUCGAGUGUCAUUA
This 158-nucleotide ribosomal RNA is filed under the name Hydnum aff. repandum DSH 97-320. RNAcentral describes it as "5.8S ribosomal RNA". It matches the Rfam family "5.8S ribosomal RNA". Rfam says of the family: 5.8S ribosomal RNA (5.8S rRNA) is a component of the large subunit of the eukaryotic ribosome. Lineage: Eukaryota; Fungi; Basidiomycota; Agaricomycetes; Cantharellales; Hydnaceae. RNAcentral also lists the same sequence under 4 other names. The record is from RNAcentral.